UGGAUGGAAUUAGAAAGUAUCACCCCAAGU
Molecule: non-coding RNA, 30 nt
Filed under: Mus musculus (house mouse)
Lineage: Eukaryota; Metazoa; Chordata; Mammalia; Rodentia; Muridae
Source: RNAcentral